AUCUCUGUUUGUUUUAAAUAUAGGCACCUAGAUGCGCCUCAUCACAGGGCUUGUUCAGGGCAAACCCAGCACUGCGGCUGCCUGUCUGACGACCUGCUGUGUGAAGAGAUCCAUGUGCUUUGGAUUCUUAAUUUUCCUCAAAGUUAUGCAAACAUCUUGAGUCUGUAUGAAUGCAUAGACAACAAAGAGCUGUGAGACUUCAGAGAGGCUGCAGACAUGCAGUUCAUGUCCACAGAACACCACUCAUUUAAGAAUCUGCCAGAGAGCUGUGAGGCAAUAAGGCAGGGAGCCAGAGAAUAAAGAAAAACACAGCACAGAAAAGACAGGACACAUCUUCUGUAGUGGACCUCAGGAUCAUCGGAUGUUUCGGCCAUUAUCACUAGACAUCCUCACCCGAGGGAGGCCCUGCCGAGGUUGAUGGAGCCCCGGGGUGUGUCCCAUAGCCAAUUGAUUGGAGUUGUAACUGUAGUUCUUCUGGUAAGUAGGUCCAGGUAAGUAUAAGGAGUUGCUAAGAUCGGUCGGUAUUUAAGUUAGGUAUUAUGAAGAUAGGUAUUAGUUGUUGAGGUGCUAAUUGUUCCUACAGUAAGUAGUAUUGAGGUAAGCAUUAGGAUAACGGUAAAUAGGGUAACUAUUAUGGUCAAUAUUGGAGGUAAGUAUUUGCACAGCAGUAAGUCUUAGAAUAAAGUAAGUAAGGUAGGUAUUACUGUAGGUUAAGGUAGGUCCCAGACUAACUUAAAUUAUUAAGGUAAAUAUUAGGGUUAAGUAUUAAGGUAGGAGGGAGGUGAAUGUUAGGUUGCGUUUGGGUACAUAGUUAAUCAAGCAAUUCUGAAGCUAAUUGUAUAGGGAAAUUUUGGGCUGAGGCCCUAGAGCGAGAGUAGAUAGGUCUAAAGGUAAGUUAAAGUUUUCUUAGGUAUUUUGGAGGUCUAAGAGAUUGGAUCCUUCCAGGCUGUGGUUGACUCGUCCUCCAGAGUCUCUUCAGCUUCUAUGGUCCAUAGGGUUGUCCUAGGUCCCGGUGCAUCCGCGGCCUAGCCACCUAAACUGGACUACGGGAUGGAGAAUUUGGAGGUUGUGAGAAAAUUUGAAGGAGACCGAUUGUUUGGGAGCGAAAGUUCAUAUUCAUGUGUUUUGUGCACAUCUAGGACUAAAUCACUCACUCACCAGAAAGCGGCUAUUGUAUUGGAUCAAAUUGACUGACAUUGCCCUUUAUACAGCAAUCAGAGGUAUGUUUUAAAUUUGAUUUUCUCUGCAUCAGGAGUAGUAUAUUUGUAUUGAAUUAUUCAAGAAUAUGUAGACUCAGUGCUUUUUAUGUACUGAGCUAUUACCAGACUGAAUAU
Long non-coding RNA from Thunnus maccoyii (southern bluefin tuna), 1334 nucleotides. RefSeq lists it as uncharacterized. The transcript has 4 exons. NCBI's taxonomy places the organism in Eukaryota, Metazoa, Chordata, Actinopteri, Scombriformes, Scombridae. The record is from RefSeq and is a predicted model, not a curated record.